RNAcentral lists this transfer RNA (57 nucleotides) under Melipona scutellaris. RNAcentral describes it as "tRNA-Ser". RNAcentral also lists the same sequence under 1 other name. Lineage: Eukaryota; Metazoa; Arthropoda; Insecta; Hymenoptera; Apidae. The record is from RNAcentral.
GAAAUAAAAAAAUUAAGCUUCUAACUUUAUAAAAGAUAUAAAUAUAUCUAUAUUUCU